Molecule: ribosomal RNA, 468 nt
Filed under: uncultured bacterium
Lineage: Bacteria
Description: partial 16S ribosomal RNA
Rfam family: Bacterial small subunit ribosomal RNA
Source: RNAcentral
GACGAACGCUGGCGGCGUGCUUAACACAUGCAAGUCGAACGGAAAGGCCCUGCUUUUGUGGGGUGCUCGAGUGGCGAACGGGUGAGUAACACGUGAGUAACCUGCCCUUGACUUUGGGAUAACUUCAGGAAACUGGGGCUAAUACCGGAUAGGAGCUCCUGCUGCAUGGUGGGGGUUGGAAAGUUUCGGCGGGUGGGGAUGGACUCGCGGCUUAUCAGCUUGUUGGUGGGGUAGUGGCUUACCAAGGCUUUGACGGGUAGCCGGCCUGAGAGGGUGACCGGGCACAUUGGGACUGAGAUACGGCCCAGACUCCUACGGGAGGCAGCAGUGGGGAAUAUUGCACAAUGGGCGGAAGCCUGAUGCAGCAACGCCGCGUGCGGGAUGACGGCCUUCGGGUUGUAAACCGCUUUCGCCUGUGACGAAGCGUGAGUGACGGUAAUGGGUAAAGAAGCACCGGCUAACUACGUG